UUUCAGGGCACCACCCUGCAGUCUUGCAGGAAUGCACGCCGCAGCUGCGAGGACAUGAAAGAGGGCUGCAGUCUCUACGAUCGCAACACCGGAGCUGAUCUCUGCGCUGCAGGGGGUAUCGCUCUGCCUGUCUAGUCUAGUUGCUGAAACUAGUUAUGGGCAUUACUAUUAUGAAUGAAUAAGGCUGCUUGCUAUAAUCCAUUGUUCUCAAGACUGAAGUAAACAAUCCUAGGCUCUCAAAUCUACUAUAGAUCUAGAAACUUCAGAGACUCCACUAUAGAGAGGCAUUGUAUGCAUACCUUGCAAUCAAAAGCUUUGCUUGUUCCCAAUUUGAGGUGUGUUGGAUUGCUAAGUACCAAAUCCUUGUUCUCGGGAUCCAUCACCCAGUCCAUCCACAGGACAACUCCAUGGCAGAGCCCAGUCUUUACAACGCUAACCUGUGCAAAAGUAGCAGAAAACAUUAAGUGGUACCAAAGAGGACAGAAUUGAAUAACCUUUGCAAAUCCACUUAGACUCUUCCUGACGCAUGUUGAACUCGAGCAGCGAAAACGGUUUUGUCAAUGACCUGUGAUCAAAGCCAUCGACUUCUUCAAGGCGACAGCGGCUUUGCCACAAAUCCUGAUUUAGCCAACAUGAAACCAAAGUCACUGCAGAGAAAAUAAUCAACUUACAGGAAGAUGACAAGCCAUCCCAUAGAGAAUUCCAAAGCAGGGAACUAUAAUAGGGUUCUCUGAUAGCAACGGACUUAGCGUCGUUCUCUCGUACCUGGAUUCUCACUGCUUUAAAACAACUUCCAACUCUUUAGAAAACGAAACGAAAACGAACCAAAACCGAAGCUGCUUCCACGGCAACGCAUGCUCGUACGUGGCGUAAUAAGGCUCCCCUAGAAGAACAUCCACCUGUCGCGAAAAGAAAGAAACCCGUCCAUAUCCAAUGGAGUUGCAAGACUGUAUACUUUAUGCCCCUUGAAAUCGUCCCCAGUGAGAUGCUUGCCGUCUUUGUGUAUAAUAGACAGCUUGCUCGCGACGCUCUCCAAGUACUUCAAGCCAUCUCUUCUACAGCCUGGAAACAAGCCAGCCACAUGGCAGGAUCCAUGCGCUGUAGAUAGAGCACACACGGCGCUCAUCAGGCCGUCAUCCCGAAUGAGACAGUUUCCAAGUUCUCGUUCUCCAAGCUGGACAGAAAGAAAAAGAAACAAUCGUACUCACAGAUUCAAAACACACUUACAGCUUUCUGAAUGGCAGACUGUAUGAUAGAACGCCUGCUACCGUCACCAAGCAUGCGACACCUUUGUAGGCUCAGCUCGAAACCAGACGCUGAACUAUUACAGCGUACACCAUUGAUGUCAUACCGCACUGACGCUUCAUCAUGGCUGACUACGACGCGAAGCUCCGACUGCUCCUCCACCGAAACACCUUGUCCAGGAAGAAACCACACACAUUGUUUCCAAUGGUCACACCACUCGCUUGCCCCUGAGAACACAAAUCUGCGGAGUUACUCAAAGAAUCGAACAGGAAAACAAACCUCUGAUCCAACGAGGAGCAGUUGAGUAGCAAACCAGGCCAUCUUUGUCAAGCUGCAGCACCCACCUUGUCAAGUUCAAGCAGAGAAGAAAGCGAACCAAGAAGUAGCGAAUCCGAGCAAGUUUCGUACCAUGAAACUAUUGCGUGAGCAGUCCCAGAGAAGUUGACAUGCACGGCUUGAUUAAAUUCUCCACGCACAUCUGGAGCUCUAUAGAAGUCAAGAACGAAGGCCUCAAACGGCUCGGAAAGCUGCAGCGCCACGGGUUUUGGUAACUUGUAAGAGAACUCUACUAAAUUACCAGCUUCAUACCGGGGAUUUCAUCAACGUGAAACGCAUGCUGUCUGUGCUUGAAGUAAGAGUAGAAAUCAUUGGGAGCGAAAGCCAAUCCGUCCUGCAGCUGGUCUUCUACCCCUUGAAGGUCGUGCAAUCUCCAGAGAAAGUCGCUCUCGACUAGCUAAGAGAAAGAAGUAAACUCAACACUGAGCUAAGAAAAAAGACUUUGCUAUAUACCUGGGCAUACACAGUAGCUCGAUAUGGCACUGUGGCAGCAUUAGGCCGGAGUAAAUGCUCAUGAGCGUUCCUUAGACUUGGAAUGAUCCCUUCUCCAAGCAACUCCGAGUCUAAAAUCUCACACACCUGGAGAGACAAAGAGUCCAGAGGAAACGAAGAAGAAGAAUGUGUACAGACUUAGCGUACCAAUGCAUCGGCUUUGCUAGAGAUGUCCACCCCGACUUUGAUCUCAUCCGAGCCCAUAUGGAGCAGCUUGAUCGCUCCCAUCGUCCCAUUGUCUCGGCAAACUUUGCGAGCCAGCUUGUACAUUGGAAGAAAAGAUUCGCAAGCAGUCACCUGGCACUGCUCUUCCAUUGCCCGCCAAGCCAUGAGCGACAAGAGCCCAGUGCCAGCACUGUCAAGAACGAGCUCAGGAAACGAAAGAAGGAUCUCUCUAGCCUCACCCAAUGUCCAGGACAUGGCCAUGGCGGCCGACCUUCGCGAUUGCUGAAGAGAAUGCCCUGUUCCUGGCGCGAUCAUUCAGCAUGUCAAGAUACGAGCUCUCUGCCAGGGGAUCGCUCGCAUCGCCGCCGUCGCCUCCAUCGCCAACGAGAAUCCAUUCGCUCUCCCCCGUGAGCGCAUUGCUUCCUUCUAAAACCCUAAACUCACAAAGAAUGAAAGAAUGACUGGGUGCUUGGAGCUCAUCCAUUGCUGUGCAACUCCAUCUCAAGCUCUCCAAGCUCACUCCAGGAUCCAAUCCAUCACUAGCGGCGACAUCUUCCUUUGCAACAAGCUCAUCCAGAUGUACGGGAGGUGCUCUACUGUCUCUAAUGCCCGCCGCGUGUUUGACUCGCUCCCCAGAAAAGAUUCCUUCUCCUGGGAUCUCCUGCUCAAUGCCUACGUACUGAACGGGGUUUUGGAGGAAGCCCAGAGAAUCUUUGCCCCACAAGAGCGUCAUGCCUUGGAAUGUGCCCUUGGCGGGAUAUGCCCGGACUGGGCAUAUGCAAGAGUGCGUCAAGAUGUUCGAGUCUGCGGCAUGCUCCGAGAAUGGACGGCUGGAUCUCUCCCAGCAGCUGUUUGGCAGUAUUCCUUUGAUGUGGCGACGUGGAAUGGCAUGCUGGCAGCGUAUGCCCGUGCCGGUCGUGUAGAGGAAUCUACAAACUUCCUAGAAGAGAUGCCAGAAAGAAGCCUGGUUUCAUGCACAACAACCAUGUUUUUAGGGACAUUGUCUCCUGGAACUCAAUGUUUGCGGCAUAUGCCAGUCACAGUUGCAUAGAGCAGUCAACGUGCGUGUUUGAGAAAAUGCCACAGAGGGAUCUUGUGUCAUGGACCACAAUGCUGCUCUUGAAAAGCAAGUGUGGCGUACGGAAUCGAGGAGAUACAGCACAACUUCAACCCCGUGCCAGAGCAAGGCCUCCUAUCCUUCAACACAAUGCUCUCGGCAUAUUCUCAGCAUGGGCAUCUGACCAAGGCCAUAAGAAUGUUUGUAAGUCUCCCCCAACACGAAUCUGCCACGUGGAAUACUGUGCUGACAGCAUAUGCCGGUAAUGGGCAUCUGGGCAGAGAUUUGAAGCUGCUGGCCCUGAUUCCCGUGCCUGACAUGGUUUCAUAUGCCGGGAUGCUGGUAGCCCUAGCUCAUUUGAGGCAUUGGAACUGUUUGGUUCUCUAAAGACACUCCACCUCCCGGACUUGACGUGCUUUGUUUUGGGUCUGGUGGCUUGCAGCCAUACUGGAAAUGUGAGGCGAGGAAGGUAGUGCCUUUGCUUCAGUGGUAGCAGACUAUGGAAUGGAGCCAACCAAGCAACACUAUCGAUGCUUUGUGUGGGCCGGUCAGGGCAUCUUAAUGAGGCCAUUGCAAACCUGCCAUAUUUUGGAGUGGACUAGCUUGCUUGGGCCAGCCAUAGAGUCUUACAGAACGGGGGCCGUGCUGCAAACAUGGUAUUCAGGAUGAAUCCAGAGCAGGGAGGAGCGUAUGCAUUGUUAUCCACACUUAUGAACCAGUAACACUGUCGUUAUAAACACAUGAUCAUCAUCGUACAAAUAACUUUUCUAGCUAGCGGAUAGUGGUCAUAUUGUAGCAUUUGGAUUGGCAGCCUUUAGAAAGGCUGACAUGGGAAAAUUAAUCCUAUGUUACUAAGGUCAUUGUUUUCAUCAAGUCUUUCUUGUUUUUUCCAUGGCUUUCCGUUCAUUCUUUUCAAUUCUCCUUGGGUUGCUAUUCAAGGUGGUGAUAGUGCCAAAAAAUUCAAUGGCACUUGUGUUCCUCCGGCAAUCUUUAGCUUUACUGAUUCACUCUCUGAUACUGGCAACCGCAACCUUGAAGCAAUUGCUGCUGGCGCUUUUAGUCUCUCUGGAAAUUUGCCAUAUUGAGUGACACUUGGAAAAGCCACAGGGGAUGGAUACAUUUGUAUUGAUUAUUUAGCUUGUUCUCUCAAGCUUGGAGAUUUUGAGCGUCCUAGCUUGACUUACAAUGGAACUUAUUUUAUGGGCUUGAAUUUGGAGUGACUGUUCGUCCAACUAGUAUUAUAAUACUUCUUUCUCAUGUUUUAUCUACGCAAGUUUCAGGUUUUCUAUGACAUAAACAAUAUUACAACUUCAUAAAGAUAAAGCACUUUAUUAUAUUGGUAAUAAUCCUAAUUAUGGUAUGCAAUAUGGAAAAUAUCAAUUCCAUCUGUGAUGGCUGGCAUUAAAUCUAGUAUUAUGGAUUUAUAUAAUUCUGGUGCCAAACAUUUUCUGGUGAUGAAUCUUCCUCGUCAAGAUUGUUCUCGUGGCUAUUUACAAGAGUUUGUUGAUAUUGGGGGUAUGCAAUAUGUUAUUGAGCUUACAAAUAUUAUUAAGCUAUUUUGGAUAUCGUGAAUGAUAUUAAAAAUCAGAACGAUGAUAUUGAACUAUACUAUCUUGAUUGAGCUUAUGAAAUAUGGAUCAAUAUGGAUUUAAAACUUAUAAAGUGGCUUGUUGCAGUGCACCAGGAGAUGAUUUUCCAUUGCAAUAAUCCAAUAUUAUGUGGAUGCGGAACACAAAAUGGUACACUAUGUGAUAAUCCAGGUGCACAUUUAUCUUUUGAUGGUUACUCAACAUUUUAUGAGGUUUCUUGACUUUGUUGAGUAUCCUCUGAAAUUUAAUUCUUAUAAUUUCUAUUAUUUUAUUUUAAUAAGAUAGCUUGGUGUUUUGGCUGAUCGAGAGAGAAUGCAGUUUCAUCGAAAGUGGUAGGAAUCCAGCAAUGCGACAUUGGCCGAUGCGCCUUGGCUUAGAACCGAUAUGAGCAAGAAAUAUGGCUGUGCAUUGUUGUGAGGUUAAGCAUCGAUCGGUCUUUAACCGGUUUAGCGUGAUACGUCUGGAAAAGAGCCCCUUGCGUCAUGUUCAACAAAGAAGAGAUGGUUAACGAACAAAGGCUAAACUCUUUUUUUUAAUCUUCCCUUUGCUUAAUAAGAAUACGUAUUUUUAUACUGUCAUUUUAAACAUCGUAUGUACAUAAUCAUAAGGCGGCGGCGGCGGUGGUGGUGGUGGUGGUGCCUCCGGGUAAUCCAGUAGCUUCUCCAGCCGUAGCACUACGUCGCAGUGGUAAGGCAGCACUGGAUGCCAGUGGAGAUACAUGGGACUGAUGGUCAGCCACGAGAGGCCAUAAAACUCCGCUCCAAGUUGCUCUAGAACGUAGCGGAUUUGCAGCUUGAUGCCGCUGCUGCUCCCUGGCUUCCCUGUGCCCACACUGCUGCUGCUAGUGUUGCUGCUACUACCGGCGUUGUCACACAAGCCAUUCCCACCCAGACGCAUCCCUUGCAUCUCCUGUCUCGAGCCUUGGAGGAGCCGAAGUGUGCUACGAGACCGUUCUGGAGCGUCCUCGGCCAUUCCUCCUCCAUGGAAACAUGAACAACCUCGGCUCGUAGAGCUGUGGUCGGGCCGGAGAUGACGUAGCCGGAUGCAACGGGAGAGAUGGAGCCUCUGCUCUGUAUCCACUGUCCAAAUGCCGUGGCGUUGGCUACGGACCAUGUCGAAGCCGCUGGAAUAAAGUAUCAGUCAGCGAAUACUUAAAUACGAAAAAAACUUCUAGCUUACCAGUUGAUUCGGUCAGGCUCAGCCCCUGCAAUAACUCGUCACCAGACACCGUCGCCAAGGUUACACCGGCCAGCUUCCCAGCAUGAAAGUUGAUCUCCGGCUUUGGGAGUAAACCACGCAAAACAAAAGAGGACGAGGAACGAAUCACCAUGGGCCAUGCUCUGAAUUCGUCCAGCCAGUGAGGUUGUGUCUUGCUGGGAACUUGUAAAACUCGCGACGAUCUGGAGAGAGGGCUUUGGAUUCACCGUCAGAGGCGAUGUAACGUUCCAAACACUAAACGUUUGCAAACAUUUAAAAAGCUCGUUCUCUCGUGGCUGGCAGGACAUAUUUCAGAUCACAUGUACAGGCCAAAGCAAUGCCAACGACAAUUGCUAUUUUGUUGUAGCCAUGGUUUAUGGACAGUGCCAAGUACGACAUUGGUCCCAUUACAGCUACUGUGUUUGGAGGAAAUGGCUCACUGUGUUGACAUUUUCAGUGAAGGUGCAUAUGGAUUUGGAUUUGAUAGAUAUUCACAAACCAACUAUUCCAGCUUGCAGGGAUUAGGAACUCUCUAACUGCUUCCAGCUUGUUCAGCUCUCCUGAGAUUCGGCAGAUAUUAGUCACCUACAAGGCAGCAUUCCUCAGCUUUCCGAGCAUACUUCUGUUAAACUCCAACAGACUGGGAGGCCAUCUUCUCGGGUGAGCCUUCCAAAAAAUUUCAGCUCCAAUGCGACCAACAACAGGUUUGAAGGCAGUGUUUCAUCAAGGAACUUUAGCAGCAACCAGACAAGUUGUCUGGGAAGCUACCAACUCAAUGUGAACCACUGUACCAACACCAAUAAGAGAAUUGAAGAAACUCUUUGCGUCGAAUCCUUGUUAUUGAUCAUGAUUGGGUUCAAUGGUUGACUCUUCCCGGGCAUAUAUCACCUCCAUGGCCUGGUUCAAUUAAAGUUUGCAUUGUUAGUGCAAAAUGGUCCCGGGAUCCAAACUUUCAGCCAGCUGGAGGGAUGGAUGCUGCCAUUUACUCUAUUUUAUGAGCUCUCAACACAGGAGUGAUCCAGCUUUCCCUUUACCUAAGAGCAAAAAAUCGAUCGGGGUAGCACACCUGGUACAAGGGUUGCAAGUGGCAUAUAUGUUUUCAAUACAGACAAUAUAUGUGACACAGAAAAUGAAUAAAAAAUCAAAAUGGUCGAGACGAGCAUUUUUCCAAAAUAAAUUUAUGCAACUUGUUACCCUGCACCCUUGCAACCGUGCCUUAUCGUUUUUUAGGCCUAGGCUCUCCAGCUUCGGUCCGCUCAUUCUAUCAAGGGCUGCAGUCUCUACGUUUGCAACACUGGAGCUGAUAUUUGUUUUUGUGCUGAGACUGGGCAUUGUUCCCGCAUUUUACCGGUGAAUCUUCGCAAAGCAAGCCACUAUCUAAUGCCAAAGGACAUUCAGCUCGCCCGUCGCAUCCGUGGUGAGAGGGCUUAUCUUAUCGCAUUGAGAUAUCCAUUGUGUGGUGGCGAACUGCUAACAAGUACACACGUUUUGAACAUUUCUAAAGCACCAAUGCUGGACUUCGAAAGCCCAUCAGAUCUGCAAUAGAGAAGUAUGGCUGGAAGCGGCAAUCUCCCCGUGCUCGUUCUUCUUCUGUUGGCCUCGUUAUCCUGUGAGAGAGAUCUCCACUUAUAUGUUACAGUCGAUUCUAACUCGGACUCCUGUUCUUGCAGCUGCUCAAGGUGGCGUCGUCGAGGUUUGCUAUGGUGACCUCACCUAUACCGAUUGCAGCAACUGCUGUAGUCUGAAGAAAGGUUGUGUCUACCUGCAACCUGGUUCAGGACAAGUCACUUGCAUUGGCGGUGAUUCAAGGGCUUGUACCCUGGAGUGCCAAGGUCCGAAGUUGGCCGUAUGCCCAUUGCCUUCAUCAGGAUUCCCAACAUCAGGCAUCAAGGUGCUCAAGGGAAAACUCCCACCCCGACAACCUGGAUGCAGUUACUACAACAUCGUUAACGGUGACCCCAUCCCGCGGCUGGAGCAGCAGGGCACAGAUCAAGGUAACCGCCUUGUUCAUUAUGUUCAGGAAGCUCAGGCCUCUCCGAUAGAACUCAUGGCAGGAAGGAAGUGUAAGCUUGAUUCGAUUGUGGAGGUCUGCAAUGCCGAGGUCUCCAAAGAUAAUUGUGGUUGCUGCUUCGGGAAAUCCGGUUGCAUCUACUUGGAGAAUCCAUCCGCAAACAGCACCUGCCUGCCUACUGAAGACCCCAUGGGGGUUUGCCCCCUCGUUUGCGUGCCCACAGUGUCCAUUUGUACCAAGUCUGUAACUUUUCAGGGCACCACCCUGCAGUCUUGCAGGAAUGCACGCCGCAGCUGCGAGGACAUGAAAGAGGGCUGCAGUCUCUACGAUCGCAACACUGGAGCUGAUCUCUGCGCUGCAGGGGGUAUCGCACUGCCUGUCUAGUCUAGUUGCUGAAACUAGUUAUGGGCAUUACUAUUAUGAAUGAAUAAGAAAUGUCCCUCCUUGGAGGGGCCGGUGCCAAUGUCCGAAGUUACUC
Molecule: long non-coding RNA, 8570 nt
Filed under: Selaginella moellendorffii
Lineage: Eukaryota; Viridiplantae; Streptophyta; Lycopodiopsida; Selaginellales; Selaginellaceae
Description: long non-coding RNA (SMOE_LNC001795)
Source: RNAcentral